Molecule: ribosomal RNA, 471 nt
Filed under: uncultured Proteiniphilum sp.
Lineage: Bacteria; Pseudomonadati; Bacteroidota; Bacteroidia; Bacteroidales; Dysgonomonadaceae
Description: bacterial SSU rRNA
Rfam family: Bacterial small subunit ribosomal RNA
Source: RNAcentral
UUGACGGGGCCCGCACAAGCGGAGGAACAUGUGGUUUAAUUCGAUGAUACGCGAGGAACCUUACCCGGGCUUGAAAUGCAUCUGACCGGCCUUGAAAGAGGCACUCCCUUCGGGGCAGAUGUGUAGGUGCUGCAUGGUUGUCGUCAGCUCGUGCCGUGAGGUGUCGGCUUAAGUGCCAUAACGAGCGCAACCCUCAUCAUUAGUUACCAUCAGGUAAGGCUGGGGACUCUAAUGAGACUGCCAUCGUAAGAUGUGAGGAAGGUGGGGAUGACGUCAAAUCAGCACGGCCCUUACGUCCGGGGCGACACACGUGUUACAAUGGGUGGUACAAAGGGCAGCUACCUGGCGACAGGAUGCUAAUCUCGAAAACCGCUCUCAGUUCGGAUCGGAGUCUGCAACUCGACUCCGUGAAGCUGGAUUCGCUAGUAAUCGCGCAUCAGCCACGGCGCGGUGAAUACGUUCCCGGGCCUU